RNAcentral lists this ribosomal RNA (406 nucleotides) under uncultured bacterium. RNAcentral describes it as "partial 16S ribosomal RNA". It matches the Rfam family "Bacterial small subunit ribosomal RNA", at positions 30 to 526 of the family's 1533-position model. The record is from RNAcentral.
AUUGAACGCUGGCGGCAGGCCUAACACAUGCAAGUCGAACGAGUGGCGGACGGGUGAGUAAUGUCUGGGAAAUUGCCUGAUGGAGGGGGUUAACUACUGGAAACGGUAGCUAACACCGCCUACCAUCAGAGGUGCCCAGAUGGGAUUAGCUAGUUGGUGGGGUAACGGGUCACCAAGGCGACGAUCCCUAGCUGGUCUGAGAGGAUGACCAGCCACACUGGAACUUAGACACGGUCAAGACUCCGACGCGAGGCAGCAGGGGAGAAUAGUGCACAAUUGGCGCAAGCCUGAUGCAGCCAUGCCGCGUGUAUGAAGAAGGCCUUCGGGUUGUAAAGUACUUACAGCGGGGAGGCGUUACCCGCAGAAGAAGCACCGGCUAACUCCGUGCCAGCAGCCGCGGUAAUAC